This 722-nucleotide long non-coding RNA is filed under the name Sus scrofa (pig). Its description in RNAcentral is "lncRNA (ENSSSCG00025019322.1, ENSSSCG00035050160.1, ENSSSCG00055024808.1)". The record is from RNAcentral. Lineage: Eukaryota; Metazoa; Chordata; Mammalia; Artiodactyla; Suidae.
AUGAAUCGAGGCUCCAGCAUCAAACUCUCUUUUCCCCAGUGGAGCCUGGUGGGAUUUACCGGAGCAGCCUGGCUCCCUCUGCGACCCUCCCUCCAGAACAGCGGCCCUGUGACUCCGGGAGGGCGCAGCUCACCAGAGAACAACACGAUGCUGAGACCCGGGUACUGUUUGUCACCGCAGCACACAGACUGGAGCGGCCCAAGAAACAGCAAAAAGACAAAAAAAAAGAAGAGGAAGAAAGUGGAGCCUCGGACCUUUGAAGGAGAGGCUCCCUCCCACCGCACAGCAAGAAGGCACUGUCUGCGAGCCUGGAAAAGGGCCCUCAGCAGAGGGCGGCCCUGCCGGCACCCUGAACGUGGACUUCCAGGCUCCAGAGCUGGGAGGAGCGACCACAGUGGUUUCAGCCGCCCCGUCGGUGGUGUUCAGCUCCAGCAGCCCAGGCUCAGACGCCACAUCACGGCAUUAGGGUGAUUCCUCUUCUCCCGAGUGUCCGGUGUCUCGUUGAAGGAGAACCGCAACCUCGAACCUUUCACCUCUUUGCCCUUCGGUGGGUGCUCUUCAUGAGCAGCCACUUCAGCAAACACACACAGGCAGACCCCCGAGCAGCCACUUCAGCAAACACACACAGGCAGACCCCCGGCGGGCGGACCUGCGCGCGUCCCCAGUCACGGUGGCACUGCCAACCUAGGUGGCGGCAGAGAGCGCCCCCAGCCCGCCGAGCG